RNAcentral lists this long non-coding RNA (589 nucleotides) under Homo sapiens (human). RNAcentral's name for it is "HSALNT0191615". Lineage: Eukaryota; Metazoa; Chordata; Mammalia; Primates; Hominidae. The record is from RNAcentral.
AGAAAUUAUUAGAGAAGGAUCACUUCCCUUGACUUCUGCCCACGUCAUUCAUAUUGUCUGAAGGACUGUUUGUCCCCAUUUCCAGAUUUUCUUCUCUCAUUGCUAACCAUAUCCAUUUGGAGUCAAAUUCAUUUGAUUAUACCUUUAUUAUCGCCCCAAGUCUGUUUAUAGAAUACCUCCUAGGACUGCAUUAUACCUAUACCUUAUUUUUGUUGUUGCUUAUUAAGAUAGUUUCUAAAGUGUCUCUUCUUCCCAAGUAUUCCUCAGACAAUUGGAAGAGAAAUGUUUAUCUUCUCAUCUGUCUAAAUAAACAGCAAUCUCCAAAAUGUCUAACUCAACUCAUUGCUUAUAAUAAGCAUCUGAAACAUUUGUCAUAAAACCAUCCUAACUCAUACUAACUGUGGUAAAAAGAUGAAGACAAGUCUGAUGAAGAGAAAAUAAGAAUUCUAUCUAUAAGACACAAAGUUUUAAAUUUAAAAUCAUUCAACUCAAUAUAACUUGCAGCUAUCAAGUAUUAAAUUAUUUUUCUAAAGACAGCAUCAAAGUUAUGAAUACACUAUCAAUUUUUAUGCUGAGAGAUGCUUCCAGA